Molecule: long non-coding RNA, 1842 nt
Organism: Dioscorea cayenensis subsp. rotundata (Guinea yam)
Lineage: Eukaryota; Viridiplantae; Streptophyta; Magnoliopsida; Dioscoreales; Dioscoreaceae
Exons: 6
Source: RefSeq, a predicted model, not a curated record
AACUAUUUUCAGAGCAAAUGGACCUCUGAAAAGAAAAGCCUUUUUUUUUCAUUCUCUUCUCAAAAUUUCCACAAAUUCUUGGUUGAAUCUCUCAAGGAAUGGGCACCCCGUCGGAGAGGAUUACCGGAACGUUCGUCUAGCGCAUACUAUCUCACCUGCUGCCUCGCCGUGGAGUUCGGGUGGUGGGAAAGUUGUGAUGAAUCUUUACAAGUUAGAUCGGUGCUAUGAACAAGAUGUAUAUAUAUAUAUAUAUAUAUAUUUUUGUGCCACAAGGAGAUAAGGCCAUUGUUUGAUGGUGUAUGCUGUGGAAAAAAUGCAUGUGUUCUUGGUUAUAGAGUUCGUGGAAGUGGUAAAAUCAUAAGAAAUUCAGGGCUCUGAGAAGAAUCCUGGGUUAGCACCAUUGGCUGUCUUUGAGCAUCUAGCUGUCUUCAAGCAUCUAUCACUUGUCAAGGAAAGUGAAGGUUCACUGAGCACAUUAUGUUUUGAAAUUAAUCAAAACCAUAUAUAGUUUUGGAAAUGAAAGCACUAGAUUUGCUUAUUUUGGACAAUGUCGGAAGAAGGAUUCAGCUCACGGGCCUUCGUCAGGUUGCAGUGAAUUCAGUUUUAGAUCUUGAAAGAAUGUACUUUAGUAGAUGCAACUCAGGGAGAGCUGUAAAGGCUUGAUUAUUAUCUAUGUUGCUAUUGUGGACAAGGAAACAAACACCAACCAUCUAGGGGAAUAUACACUUUAUUGAUUUAGCAAGUGAUUUUUAUCCUCAUGUUUGAUUUCUAAUCCGAUUUUCUUUCCUUAGCAGCUUCUCUGCUUUCAUUUUCAGGUUAUGAGACUAAAAUUAAUUGUUUCAAUUACUAAAUGUUGUUUAUGUAUUGAAUGCAAAUGAAACCUUUGUUCCCCAUGCUGUGCUGAUUACUUGCUCGGUGAAGCAUAUUUGUUAAAAGCGAUUGAAUUGCACCUUAUGAUCACUUCGUGAUGGAUAUUUUCAAGAUAUGUUUUUUAUCGCCCUUUAUGUUAAUCAAUUUUGUAUUUCCAAUCCAGAAUCCUGGUUUAAUACUGGUCAUGUAGUUAGCAUGGGUUCUCAGUCAUGUGCAAGACUCUUCCAGAAAGCAUAAGAGGAGUCUGUGGCAACUCCUUCCAUGUCUGAUGUCCCCCUUCUACUGGUUGAACAAGCACAAUAAACUCCUCAACAAAGAGAAAUGAAUAUUAAAUAUUCAUUUUUGUCAAUGGAAAAAGAAAGGGACCAAUGGCACACCAAUGCCACAGAAAGAACCCAAUUAUUGUGCAAUUUAGUGAAGAAAGUCAAAACUUUUGACUUGGUUCUGUUGAAAAAGACUCAAAGGAUAUGGCAUUAACUCUUAUCAAAGAAAGCAUAUCGAAUUAGUUUUAUGUUCAAGAAAAGAUUUGGCUUCAUCAGGAAUGAGGCAAAGUGCAUUUUACUGGUUGUUGAAGAUUUCUUAUCAGAUGAGCAACAACUGCCAUUUAAGGGGUGCCAAAUGUCCAAAUAGAUACGGAGAUGCACCUGUUACGAUGAUUUAACGAGGAUGAGUUAACAUGCAGGACAAUGAUAAUGCGGUCGGGUGGAGAAUAUAACCGUACCUUUAAAGUGUUGAUGUACUCAUGUACUCCAGAGAGGGGAAAAAUGCAGGGUGUUGCUGCAAAAGUGCCUAAAAUUUUGCCAAAAUGCUCUUAUAAAAUAUCUAAAUUAGGUUUGGUGAUCUUGCAGAAAACGCCAUAGUGUAAAAGUUCUAUUAAGUAGGGAGUGUUUUCUAAAACUAUCAUGGAUAUGUGACAUUUCGUGUGGACAUCCUCGUUUAAUUUAAAAUUAUUUUUAAAGCCUUUUUGGUUUC